This is a long non-coding RNA of Poecilia latipinna (sailfin molly), 3781 nucleotides long. RefSeq lists it as uncharacterized. NCBI's taxonomy places the organism in Eukaryota, Metazoa, Chordata, Actinopteri, Cyprinodontiformes, Poeciliidae. The record is from RefSeq and is a predicted model, not a curated record. The transcript has 2 exons.
AUGCCUUCUGCCAUUUUCUUGUGUGUUGAUUGGUCUUUCUCUCUCCUUCACCCUGGCUGGUUUGGUUGUGUCAGUUCUGUCCAGGUCCUGAGUGCAGACAUCUGUGUUUCCAGUUACUUUUUGCCUGACUGUCACCAUCCCAAUCCCUCUGUUGUUAGUCCCUCACAGUUUACUCCUGGGCUGGUUUUACUCUUGCUUUUUUUAAACGGCUAUAAACAACUAAUUUUUCAAUAAAAUUUUCAAAUCUGGACAUGGAACAAAUGGUGGAAGUGUUGGCAUCUCGCCAUAGCCCCCUCAGGAUCUGCACAGUAUCUGGCACAUUUUGAAAACAACUAAUACGAGUACUGAACCUGUCCCACCCACAUUCACCACCUCCUUCCUCUCAGUCCUCCAGUCAACCUUGAAUCAGUUGGUUGUUUUGUCUUAGUAAGGAAGAUGGUUAUUGUGCUGUUGUUUGUUGUGAAGUGAACAGUCCCUUUGUGUUCUCAGCCUCUCAGUCAUUUUCUGACUCACUCACUUGGGCUGCAAUGAAACAUCAGAGCAAGUUUAAACGUCCAUCACAGAUUAGUUAAAGCUGCAGUUUACGGUGCCACCAAUAUUCACAUCCUGAUGUUCUUCAGCUACACGAGUGUUUGAGGGAUGUUUCUCUUUUGCCGAAUGCAUCACUCUGAAUGUUAAAAACAUUUUUUAUCAAAAAAUCUCUCAUAGCAACAACAUACCCUUAGUGCUAGACAGCAUAAAUAAGAGCAAACAGAAACAUCCGUUUUUUUCAGUGUAUAACUCUUUUCUGUUUUUAUAGGGUUUUAAAAAUAAUUUAGAUUUGCAAACGACAGUGCAGUAAAAAUAUUUGCCCCUGUACAGAUUGCUUGUUUUGUUGCACUUAGAUGUUUCAGACUUGCUUACUGCCAGAUCUGCACAAUCCAGAAAUCACCUCAAGAGAACCUGUCAAGCAACAUGAGUUGGACUAAAAAAAUUAUUAAGAACACAUGGUGUCUCUGUCGGAAAAAGACUCAUUGAUAUUAUAUUACCCCAUUUCCAAAGCUUUGUGGUGAUUUGGCCAGUCACUAAAACUACUCCUAUACUACAACAAUGGCAUUUUCAUGAGGUAACAAAGAACAAAACAUCUAAAGCUCUGCAGGCCUCAGGUGAGGCCAGUGUUGAUGACUGAGAUGUGGCAAAUAUGGCCUCCAUCAGAGGAUGAGUGAUGGGGAGCUGCUUUGGGAAAUUCAUCCAAAAAUGUGAAAGAGAAUGUCAACUAAUCAGUUCUUGACCUUCACCUAAAGUACACUUUGGUUAUACAACAGAAGGAUGAAGCAAAGCACAGCAGGAAGUUCACCUUUGAUUGGUUCAAAUAAAGUGCAUGUUUUGGAGUGUCAUAGUCAAAUCCGAACUUAAAUUUAGCCUAGGUAUUUCAGCUUCUGGAGUCGCAUUUUCUUUAGAAUAUUUUAGAAAUGCUCUACGACAAAAUCUGUGAAUAAGUAAAUUUUUUGCAAAUUGGAGUUACAGAAACCUGUUUGCAGUUGUUAAGAGUAGCGAACAAUUAUUUUUUUUCCACAGGUCAAGGUUGCUUUGGAUAGCUUUUUUUUUCUUUUGAUGAAUGAAAUCAUUAUUUAAAAACUGGAUUUUAUCUCAAGCAUAAAAGAUACAAAAAAAGGCAGAAAUAUGCACUAUCUUGCCAAACCUAUUUGCUCAUCUGCCUUGACUCACAUCUGAGCUUAAGUCACAUCCCUUUCCUAAUCCAUAGAGUUCAAUAUGACGUUUGUUCACCUAUGCAGCUAGAACAACUUCAUCUCUUCUGUGAAGGCUGUUCUCAAGGAGUGUGUUUAAGGGGAUUUUUGACCAUUCUUCCAGAAGCACAUUUGUGAGGUCACAUAGUGAUGUUGGAUGAGAAGGCCUGACUCAGUCUCCACUCGAAUUAAUCCUAAAGGUGUUCUAUCAGGUUGAGGUCAGGACUCUGUGCAGUCCAGUCAGGCUCAUCCACACCAGACUCUCCAUCCAUGUCUUUAUGGACCUUACUUUGUGCUCUGGCACACAGUAUUGUUAAGGGGUCAACUCCAAACUGUUCCCACACAGUUGGGAUCAUGGAAAUGUCCAAAAUGUCUUGGUGUGUUGAAGCAUUCAGAGUUCCUUUCACUGGAACUAAGGAGCCAAGCCCAGUUGUUGAAAAACAAGCCCACACCAUAAUCUUCCCUCCACCAAACUUUACACUUGGUACAAUGCAGUCAGACAAGUACCGUUGUCUUGGCAACCUCCAAACCCAGACUUGUCCAUCAGAUUGCCAGAUGGAGAACACGUCUCCACUGCUCUAGAGUCCAGCGACGACGUUCUUUGCACCACAUCAUUCGACGCUUGUAUUGCUCCAUCAGUUUAUGUUCCCUUCCACUUUGUGUCUAAGUUGCCGUUGUUCCCAAACACUUCCAUUUUCUUAGAAUACAUCUGACAGUUGACUGUGGAACAUUUAGGAGCGAGGAAAUUUCACCACUGGAUUUGUUGGGUGGCAUCCUGUCAGUUCCACACUGGAAUUCACUGAGCUCCUGAGAGCGAGCCAUUCUUUCACAAAUGUUUGUAAAAACAGUCUGUAUGCUGAGAUGUUUCAGUUUAUACACCUGUGGCCAUGGAAGUGAUUGGAACAUUGAAUGUGGUCAUUUAGAUGGGUGAGCAAAUACUUUUGGGAAUCUAGUGUAUGUAAGUAAAUACUUUGCCUUCGUACAGUAGAUGGAUGAGUUGAUGUCCACUCAAAGGCUUUUAAGAGGGUGUAGAUUUUGCUACUAUUGAGCUUUGCAGCUUUGUGCUUCACAGGAACCUACAUAUCUUCUAAUCAUUGCUGUUAAUAGGUUGACAAAAUGAGCCAUUCCGGACUGAAAAGUGUUAGGACAGCCCAAAAUGCUCUACACAAUAAAAUGUGUUUUAUCUAAUUUAGGGGCUGUAAAAUGUUUACAUUUUAUUUUAUCAACUCUAAACCAAAGUCAGUAGUUGCAGCCCUUCUCAUCUAUCAUCUGCCACCUUUCAUCCAUUUUAAGAAGUCAAAUGUUUCUUCCUCCCCAUCUCUUAUGGGGACCUCAGAGUGGCCGAUUGUGGCCACACUGUUUCCAAGAGGAGACUGGACUCUGGCUUUUCUACUUCUUCUUUGUUGUUUUUGAUGGUUAAGCUGUUUGCUGUAGUCUGUAUUUGCUGUUUGUUUGUGAAAUGAUUCAUUUGAAAGUUUGUUUUCUGAAAAAAAAAAACCUAUUCUGACCACAUGCACUUCUUUUCCAUUUCUUUUUAAGCUUUGCUCAAGAUUUUUCCUGAUUAGAUAAUGACUGAUUAAAAAAAGUUUAAUGUAAUAUGUUGUGUAUAUGUUUAGAUUGCUUAAGUUAUAGAAAAAAAAAUAUUUUUAGUUGUUGGUGUAUGGCACUUUUAAACACAUACUUUUAAAGCACCUGUGAAAUAAGUCCUUUUUUAAAGAAUAAAGUAAAUCAUUUUACUCUGUGAACAAUGCAAAUUCUCCAUCUGGUUUAAUGUUGUUUGGAAUAAGACCGAAAGUACAAAAUAUUCUCACCAAGUGCUUCAGACCAAUUUAAUAAAUAACACACAAAUUAAAACAAUUUGAAUCUUCUUUAAGUCUAUAUAAUUUACCCAGGUUGAAUACCAGUCAAUUCAAAGCAAAUGUCUGUACUAAUCUGACUAUGAAGAGGCUUAAAUUUGACCCACUGCAACUCCCAGUCUGUCCAGGAUGCCCCCCCGCCCCCACCAAUCCAUAACGAGUGCUGCUCAACAGUGAGAUUAAUAAUACAUAUAACAG